This 305-nucleotide ribosomal RNA is filed under the name uncultured bacterium. RNAcentral's name for it is "bacterial SSU rRNA". It matches the Rfam family "Bacterial small subunit ribosomal RNA", at positions 334 to 637 of the family's 1533-position model. The record is from RNAcentral.
UCUUCCUACGGGAGGCAGCAGUGAGGAAUAUUGGUCAAUGGCCGGAAGGCUGAACCAGCCAAGUAGCGUGAAGGAUGACUGCCCUACGGGUUGUAAACUUCUUUUAUAAAGGAAUAAAGUGAGGCACGUGUGCCUUUUUGUAUGUACUUUAUGAAUAAGGAUCGGCUAACUCCGUGCCAGCAGCCGCGGUAAUACGGAGGAUCCGAGCGUUAUCCGGAUUUAUUGGGUUUAAAGGGUGCGCAGGCGGAUUUUUAAGUCAGCGGUCAAAUCGUGGGGCUCAACCCCAUCCAGCCGUUGAAACUGGG